GAGUUUGCACAGGCAACAAGGAGGAAGGGCAGCUGGCCGAAGAGCAAGAAUGGAAGGAAAAUAAAUCACUGACUGCAGCGUAGCAGCUAAAAUGUGAGGGCAGUUGCCCCCAAACUCCUUUGUUGCAAAGGUGGUGGUGUGUUGGCUCAUUGGUGGCGAGUCAGCUUUGAAGCUGUUUCUGCACCAGGUAAAGUAAUUUUUAGCUCCCCAGUUCCCCGCACAACCUGUCUUGUAUUUUGCCCGGCCAAAAGUGGCAACCCUAAUUGUGCCUUAGCUCCUGUGUAAUGAAACUCUGACCUUUACACAGAAUGCUGGCUCCCUCAUGCUGCCAGAACCAUGUAUCAUGGGAUUUGUAAUAAAACCCUGAGCUAGCAGUCAAAUUCCAGAAGAAUGUGCUAACAGCGUUACCUUCUGGAAUUCAUAAAGCUUCACUAAAACGUGGUGGGGGCAGAAAGUUCUACAGACCUGCGGUGGGGAUUACUUCUUUCCUUGCUAAAACAAAGCCAUUCGAGACUGCUUUAUCGCCCAACACGACACACACAGAAAUUUAGCAAGGGUAUGCUGUUGUUGCUUAAUGAUAAUUUUCUGUUGGGCAAGCUUUCUAUUCGCAGAGAAUUUUGCACACGAGGAAGAUUCGAAAUAUUGUACUUUCCCUAUCUGCAGUUUGAAGUGGUACAGUCCAUUCUGCCUUGCCAGUACUCCACCACAGAGGUUUGGAGUAGAGACAGGAUGAUGGCAACAAUCUGACAGCUUGACAUGUUAUAAGCAGUCAGAAAAAGGAUGGCAGCCAACAAACCUUGUAGGUUGUGCUUAUAUCCCUCCCCCCUCCUCAUGCUGUUUCGGAACAGAAUGCAAAAUAUUGUUGUGUACCACCCCAGUCUCUGAAUGGUGCGAGAUUCUGGGAGUAUACAACCUGAGACUACAAUGGAGGGCUUCAUAACAUUAAGACCCUAAGAGGGCCUUGCUUCUGCCCUAGCCACAACCUUGGAUUCCUGCAGAAAUCAGGCAUGGCUCUGACUCUCUGCCUUCCCAGCCUGCUGUCUUGCUUCUAGCUUUGACUUCACAUACACCUCAACUCUCAACUUUGUCUUUCUAAUUGCCAGCUAGCUAAGGGAAGGGGCUCCACCCAUUUGUCACCUGGCGCAGAGCCAGUUGCUUUGUUACCUUAACAACCCAUGUUUAGGGGGCCAUCACCAAGAAACUUGUCUGGCUAUUCCAGUAACUGGGUCCUUGUUAGAUCCAGGAAUUGUAAGGAACUCGGGCAUCCAGCCUACCCCCGCCCCUGACAACUCAAAUAUAUGCACCAGGGUUUUCCUUGGUGAUUUACUGGACUAGACUAGGAACCUGGAGAUUUCUAGUUCAUCUCUUACCUUGCUUUCAGUAAGAGUCAGUGUGGUGUAGUGGUUAAGAACUGUAGACUCGUAAUCUGGUGAACCGGGUUUGAUUCCCUGCUCCUCCACAUGCAGCUGCUGGGUGACCUUGGGCUAGUCACACUUCUCUGAAGGCUCUCAGCCUAACUCACCUCAAAGAGUGUUUGUUGUGGGGGAGGAAGUGAAAGGAGAUUGUGAGCUUUUUUGAGACUCCUUAGGGUAGUGAUAAAGCGGGAUAUCAAAUCCAAACAACAACUCCUCCUCCUCCUCCUCCUCCUCCUCCUCCUCCUCUUCUUCUUCUAUGAACUUACCAUAAACGUAGCUCUCCCAGUCUCAGCCCUGCCUCCAAUCUGCAGCAUCAUGCCUUUGUGCCUUCUAGUAGCAAACUCAGCAGGUGAGUGCUGCUGGCAGGAUUGUAAUACAAAUGGGUCCACUGGGAAACAAAAGGGAGGCAUCAACAUGCUCAUAAAAUUAUAGAAUUGUAGAGCUGGAAGGGACCAAGGGGUCAUCUAGUCCAAGCCCCUGCAAUGCUCGAUAGCCCCAUGUCUCUCAGGUCCAACACUCUAAGCACUACUACGCCAUUCCCUUUAGAUGUUUAAAUUUUGCUUUUAGUUUAUUUUAAUGGUAUGGUUUCAACUUUUGGGUGUUGGCUACCCUGGGCUCCUUUGAGAGCUGGGCAGGAUGUAAAUUUAAUAAAUAACAUACAGUGGUACCUUGGUUUUUGAACAGCUUAGUUCACGAACAGCUUGGAACCCAAACGCUGCAAAACCGGAAGGUGUUUCGGUUUUUGAACUUUUUUUCAGAAGCCGAACGUGCUCCGUUUUGAGUCCCCCUGUGUUUCCUGUUACACUGCUAAUUUGCUUCCCCCCCAUUGUAAUUCAAGCCUUCUGUUUCCGAUUGCAGUGUUCUGAGGUGAUAUUUGGAGCUUAUAUUUGGUGCUUUUGUUUUUGCUAUUUAUUUUGUGUUUUUUGUUUUGAGACUUUUUCAGUUAAUUUGUUUUUGUGACAGUGUGGAUCCCAGUUCAGCUACUGAUUGAUUGUAUGACUGCGGAAAUGGAUAAAAGCCCCCCAUCCAAACAAUGACUAUCAUCAGUGCAGG
This 2468-nucleotide long non-coding RNA is filed under the name Podarcis lilfordi (Lilford's wall lizard). Lineage: Eukaryota; Metazoa; Chordata; Lepidosauria; Squamata; Lacertidae. The record is from RNAcentral.